RNAcentral lists this ribosomal RNA (493 nucleotides) under uncultured bacterium. RNAcentral's name for it is "partial 16S ribosomal RNA". It matches the Rfam family "Bacterial small subunit ribosomal RNA", at positions 30 to 523 of the family's 1533-position model. The record is from RNAcentral.
AUUGAACGCUGGCGGCAUGCCUUACACAUGCAAGUCGAACGGUAACAGGUUAAGCUGACGAGUGGCGAACGGGUGAGUAAUAUAUCGGAACGUGCCCAGUCGUGGGGGAUAACGUAGCGAAAGCUACGCUAAUACCGCAUACGAUCUACGGAUGAAAGCGGGGGAUCGCAAGACCUAGCGCGAUUGGAGCGGCCGAUAUCAGAUUAGGUUGUUGGGGAGGUAAAAGCUCACCAAGCCUGCGAUCUGUAGCUGGUCUGAGAGGACGACCAGCCAAACUGGAACUGAGACACGGUCCAGACUCCUACGGGAGGCAGCAGUGGGGAAUUUUGGACAAUGGACGCAAGUCUGAUCCAGCAAUGCCGCGUGCAGGACGAAGGCCUUCGGGUUGUAAACUGCUUUUGUACGGAACGAAACGGUGAGCUCUAAUAUAGUUUGCUAAUGACGGUACCGUAAGAAUAAGCACCGGCUAACUACGUGCCAGCCGCCGCAGUAA